This 1359-nucleotide long non-coding RNA is filed under the name Heterocephalus glaber (naked mole-rat). Its description in RNAcentral is "lncRNA (ENSHGLG00100040418.1)". Lineage: Eukaryota; Metazoa; Chordata; Mammalia; Rodentia; Bathyergidae. The record is from RNAcentral.
ACCCUCCCUCUCCCCCCUCCCACACCAAUCCUCACACAGCAACAAUCCUCACGGUUUCCUUCACUUCCUAGUGGUCAACUAAAACCCAGAGGAGGGGUGGAGAUCCUCAUCUGAUUGCAAAUUGGGUAGAAGCUCUGUGGUUAAGACUGAGUAUGGACUUUGAAAUCAGACCUGAAAGGGAAUAGCUCUCCCCUUCACUACUUGCUGUCUUAUGUAAAUGGGGCCAAUGAAGUCUCUUUGAACACCCUUUCUUGUUCAUACAGAAGUAAUAUCUAACUGAAGGGGGAAAAGGAUUAAAUGAGAAAAUAUUUACAUGGAAAGUUUUUUUUUUUUUUUUUUUUUUGGUACUGGGGAUCGAACUCGGGACCUUGCCCUUUCCAGGCAGGCGGUGGAACCACUAAGCUAAAUCCCGGGCCCUACAUGGAAAGUUUUAGCACAGUACCCGGCAAACAGUAAGACCUCAAUUCAUAACUAUUUAAUCCAGUUCAAAAACUGCUAAGUAACUGCAUGUUUUGGUAUACUCGGAACUAGCAAGUAAGUUAAAACUGGAACCAAAAGAUAAGCUUAAGAUCUGAUUCUCUUAAACACAUAUUGAAUAUAUAUUCUGCCUUUAACAAGAUAAACGUUUUAACUGAGUUACUGAACUACGGCUCACGAUUUACCUUUUUACCUACUUAAUUUCUUACCUGAUUCAUAGGAAUUAUUUGUGCCAGGCAAAGUGCACCCUACUUGACCUCAGAAAACAGCACCGGGACAAAAAUAGUUAAGCUGGUGAGGGAAGCAAUACGAGUCUAAGAAACUGCGGAUCCGCUGAGCGAGGCUGCCUGUCUUUCCCCUUGUUUGAACGGACCUUUCGGUUUCUCAGGGAAUAAGAAUUUUAGUCAAUAAUGAGGAGGAGCUCCGCUGGGUUGUUCUCUGUCGUGGUCUCCAGCAGUGACCCAGAUGAAAUAACCACUGCAACACUGACUACUCGAUCUGCCGGCUUGAAAGACUCCAGACCGGUGACUUUAUGGAUUAUGAUUCACCUUCCCUGUCCUGUUUUGAUGAGACACCACGACGGAACCAUCCCUGUCAAUAUAAGUUUCCAGUUUCCACCCUGUCAAUUCGCCCUGUACUAAUUGGCGCGCAGGUGAGAUUUCCUGUCGCCAUUUUAAGCAGACACGAGUCCCUCACAAGGAAGUGCCCAGUUAGAAGGGGCUGUGCUUGAAACAAAGAGUAGGCUGAAGAAAGAGAACCGGGCCCAGCAGCUCCCGCCCUCCAUCCUUCUCCCGCAUCCUCCAACGCUCCCAGUCCGGACUUGGGAGGGCCGGGAACGCCGCAGCCCUCGGGGCGGAGUAACGCGGAAUCUCCACUCUCGGC